RNAcentral lists this long non-coding RNA (685 nucleotides) under Homo sapiens (human). Its description in RNAcentral is "non-protein coding lnc-RARRES1-4:1". Lineage: Eukaryota; Metazoa; Chordata; Mammalia; Primates; Hominidae. The record is from RNAcentral.
GAAGCAAGACAGAGGUGAGUGGCUCCCAGUCACCAAGCUGGGCUUCCUGGUCAAGGACAUGAAGAUCAAGUCCCUGGAAGAGAUCUAUCUCUUCUCCCUGCCCAUAAAAAUGCUGAGAUAAUUGACUUUUUCCUGGGGGCAUCCCUCAAGGAUGAAAAUUUAAAGAUUAUGCCCAUGCAAAAGCAGACUCUUGCUGGCCAGUGGACCAGGUACAGUGGCCACAUCAUCUGGGUGUUAAAUGUUUCAGGGAGGUAGCCACUGCCAUCUGAGGGUCCAUCACCCUGGCCAAGCUCUCCAUUUUCCCCAUGCAGAAGCUAUUGGGGAAUAAGAUUGGUAUGCUCCACAUCAUUCCUUGUGGAGUGACUGACCACUUUGGCCCUGUGCUGGUGUGCCUCAUCUCUGCCCUCAGAUGCACUGGCAAUGUCUCUGCCCCUUUGCCUAAGAAGCUACUGAUGAUGGCCAGUGUCAAUGACUGCUACACCUUGAUCAGGGCUGCACUGCCACCCUAGGCAACUUUACCAAGGCUACCUUUGAUGCCAUCUCCAAGACCUACAGCUAUCUGAUGCCUGACCUCUGGAAAGAGACUGUUGCCAAGUCUCUCCAUGAAGAAUUCACUGACCAUCUUGUAAAGACCACACAAGUUUCCACACACAGGACCCAAGUUCUAGCUAUGGCCAUGACAUAG